CCUACGGGGGGCAGCAGUGGGGAAUAUUGCACAAUGGGGGAAACCCUGAUGCAGCAACGCCGCGUGAGUGAAGAAGGUUUUCGGAUUGUAAAGCUCUGUUAGCAGGGAAGAGGAAGGACGGUACCUGCAGAGGAAGCCACGGCUAACUACGUGCCAGCAGCCGCGGUAAUACGUAGGGGGCAAGCGUUAUCCGGAUUUACUGGGUGUAAAGGGAGCGUAGACGGCUGUGCAAGUCUGAAGUGAAAGCCCGUGGCUCAACCGCGGAACUGCUUUGGAAACUGUAUAGCUUGAGUACUGGAGAGGCA
Molecule: ribosomal RNA, 305 nt
Filed under: uncultured bacterium
Lineage: Bacteria
Description: bacterial SSU rRNA
Rfam family: Bacterial small subunit ribosomal RNA
Source: RNAcentral